RNAcentral lists this non-coding RNA (251 nucleotides) under Enterococcus pallens. Its description in RNAcentral is "T-box sequence". It matches the Rfam family "T-box leader". From Rfam's summary of the family: Uncharged tRNA acts as the effector for transcription antitermination of genes in the T-box leader family. T-boxes are found upstream of many aminoacyl-tRNA synthetase genes and some amino acid biosynthetic genes usually in Gram-positive bacteria. The record is from RNAcentral. Lineage: Bacteria; Bacillati; Bacillota; Bacilli; Lactobacillales; Enterococcaceae.
AAAAAUGCAGUGAAAAGAAAAGUACAUUUAACCAACAUAUCCAGAGAACCCCGGUAUGCUGUGAAGGGGAAACGGCAGUUAAAUGGAAAAUGGUCUUUGAGCAAGGGCAGAUGAGAGUAAUCAAAUUUGUCACGGGAGUGCCCGUUACAGCAUCACGGAAUGCGUCACUGACAAGUUCCGGUAGAGGUUAUUGUGUAAAAGCGAUAAUGAACUUAGGUGGUAACACGAAUGCAGCAGCUUUCGUCCUAAAU